AUUUGUGUCCUGCUGCUCCUGCUAUAGAACUUCCAACAUCUCCUGCUUCAUCCUCAACAGUUUCUGCCUCUCCUUGCUCACCAGGCUGCAGCCAUUCUGGAUUGUCGCCUUCUCUUCCUUGAGCCAUUACUUCUGCACCUGAAGGUAAUUAUCCAUGUUUUUCUCCAAAGCCGACUUCAGGCAGCUGCGGCAGGUGGUUGUUGUUGUUGUUAAUUGUUGUUAUGUCAUCUUUGGCCUCCCAGGCUUUGAUCAUUUACCCUUCAUAGUACUGCACCAGGGUUGACAUGCUACUUUUUAUGUACUGUUCUUUAUGCUGCUGUUUUUUGUGCUAUUGGUUUUUAUGCUGUUGGAAGCCACUUUUGCAGCAUCUCCUUCUUCUCUGGAUGAGACUUCAGGAGGUCUUUGGCCCCUCUAAAAGAAGAAAAAGUUCAUUCUUGAACUGGUGUCCAGCCAGAUUAUGUUUCUAUCAUCGAGUUCAUAAAGGGGAGAGAAAUACAUCAUCAAAGAACCUUGGAAUUAAUGACUGUAACUCCUACACAUGAAGAUUAAAUGCUUAUUAAAGGAUUUGUUAGGCAUCUCCUGAUGGCAUUUAUGGUAUUUUAAAUCAAAUUCAAAUAAAACUUCAUGAAAUUUC
Molecule: long non-coding RNA, 634 nt
Organism: Sus scrofa (pig)
Lineage: Eukaryota; Metazoa; Chordata; Mammalia; Artiodactyla; Suidae
Source: RefSeq, a predicted model, not a curated record